RNAcentral lists this ribosomal RNA (370 nucleotides) under uncultured bacterium. RNAcentral describes it as "bacterial SSU rRNA". It matches the Rfam family "Bacterial small subunit ribosomal RNA", at positions 30 to 398 of the family's 1533-position model. The record is from RNAcentral.
AUUGAACGCUGGCGGCAUGCCUUGCACAUGCAAGUCGAACGGCAGCACGGUAGCCUGCUCCUGGUGGCGAGUGGCGAACGGGUGAGUAAUACAUCGGAACGUACCCCUGAAGUGGGGGAUAACGUAGCGAAAGUUACGCUAAUACCGCAUAUUCUGUGAGCAGGAAGAGGGGGAUCGCAAGACCUCUUGCUUUAGGAGCGGCCGAUGUCGGAUUAGCUAGUUGGUGAGGUAAAGGCUCACCAAGGCGACGAUCCGUAGCGGGUCUGAGAGGAUGAUCCGCCACACUGGGACUGAGACACGGCCCAGACUCCACGGGAGGCAGCAGUGGGGAAUUUUGGACCAAUGGGCGCAAGCCUGAUCCAGCCAUGCC